This 1012-nucleotide long non-coding RNA is filed under the name Bos indicus x Bos taurus (hybrid cattle). RNAcentral's name for it is "lncRNA (ENSBIXG00000016749.1)". Lineage: Eukaryota; Metazoa; Chordata; Mammalia; Artiodactyla; Bovidae. The record is from RNAcentral.
AGAAAUUAGGUAUGGAUGUUGCAUCAGCCAGUCAGGAGAGGUUGCUACAGAAGUCUCUGAGUUAGGGCCAAAAAAUGCAUUGACUUAUUCUUCCUUUCCUUAUAGCCCUUUCUUAUCUUCUGAUACGGAGAAAGGCAGGAGCAGUUUGGUAAUAACACCCUGAGAAUGACCUAUAUACUUAUUGUGGUGAAGAGGUUUUGGGGAAAUGGACAUAUCGUAAUGAUGAUGUAAAAUGAGAGCUUUUGGGUUAAAAUGACUAACACAGCAGGGAAUUGACAAGAAUGGCCUGUGUGUGCUCAGUCUCUUAGUCUUAUCUAACUCUUCACAACCCCAUGGACUUAGCCUGCCAGGCUUCUCUGUCCAUGGGAUUUUCCAGGCAAGAAUACGGGAGUGUGUUGAUAUUCCAUACCUAGGAAUUGAAGCCGCAUCUCUUGUGUCUCCUGCAUUGGCAGGUGGAUUCUUUACCACUGUGCCACCUGGGAAGCCCUGACAAUAAUGGCCUGGCCCAUGCUAGAGAGAUAUGUAGCCUCACUUGUCUGGCAUCUUAUCCAAGAAGACUUCCUUUUCUCUGGUUCCCUGUGGAAUGCAUAUUAAGCCAUUGGAGAGAGAAGAGUGGACAAAUGUGAGGGCACGAUGGUUUUUGAGUGUCGGCCUUGGCGCGGCUGUCGAGAUCGGGAGAUACUGCAGUUUGUUCAUCGCGGGAAGGGUGUUUCCCAGGAUGGUUAAAGAGAAAAUUGCACUGAUGAAAGAAUAUAUUCAGUCAAAAUAAAAUAAUUCUCUGGAAAUGAAGAUUUCUCCCGUUGACCUGCAUUGUGUGUGUGUGUGUAUUUUUAAACAAAUUUUCAACUCUUUUUUAUUUUUAUUUUUUGUAACAACUGCCAGGAAAAAAAUUUAAACCUUGACCUUGAUGUUUUGAACUUUCCGAGUAAGUUGAUGUAUGUACAUCAUGAUUAAAGACCAAACACUGGCUAAUACCUACCUGGUAAAAACCAAUGGCAAAUUAAUUAAACAG